GGAGGCAGUGGCUCCUAGCAGCACCCAUGUGAGAGCUGGCAAGGGGCUGUUCUGACCAAGUCUAGGUGCUAUGGCUGCCCUGCAGAGGCAGCUGGCACCUCCUUGGGGAUGGUGCUAGGUGCUGGCAUUAGGUGCUGAUCUGCGCAAACUGCUCUCUAUGCUCUAUCACACUUUCUCUGUUGGUGUCUGGCAGUUGCUGCCCCUCUGAGAUGAGCGUAUGAUCCACUACAGUCCACAAGCCUUUGCCCCACUGAUGAGAGGAGUACAGCAGACCUAUCCACUGGGGCACUUCAUCACAAUGCUCAGUGGGGAGCAGCCAUGUGACUGCUGGCUCAUAAACUGAGCUCCAGCGUGAUGCCUUGGCUGUCCCAUGCUGCUGUGCAUCAGCCCAGCCACAGGCUGCAGCUCUGGGGUAUAGACACCCAGUGAGCACUCAGGUCCUAGCUGAGCCAUCACCCGAGUAGCAGCAGCAGAUGGAUGUGGAAAGCCUUUAAAUUCAGCAAAUGAUCAAUACUAAACUGAUCUGGAGUCUCUUAUAAGAUUACCCCAGCAUCCGGCAUCCAAUUGUAAAAAAAUCACUCAGCACACUUGGGAGAUGUAAGGAAUGCAGCAGACUCCAUUUAGGAUGCACAGAGCCAGAGUAAGUGACUUCACAAUUGUUUCUUGCAGUAAAUAAUUCAUCCACUUUACAUUUGGUUUUAUUGCUACCCCCUCUCCAUGUCCCUGCCUUGGUUCCUUUCUGCCAGUUUCCUUCUCUUGUCCUGAAAUUCCCAUGCCGGGUAAUUUCUAUCAUCCUGAUUUCCUACCACACACACGUGUGCUUGUACAUACACACAGACACAAAUCAGUCCCAGUCCAACUUUCGCUUGUUGCUGUGCCAGAGAGAGGACUGCUGGGGUAGAGAUGAUGGUGUUUCACUGUUCAGCAUCUGCAGAACUGAGCUGGGCUCGGGCUGGGCCCUGGCCUGGCUUUUGCCACCUUGGUCUCUGCCUCGGUGCUACUUUCACAUAGUGCCAACAUGCAGAACUAUUUGAAAUGCAUUAAUGAUGCUAGUAGCAUGUCUACACUAAGUAGUAAUAGCAUUUGAACAAACUCUGUCUUUGUGACACGAGUUAUCAGCCUUCCAGCUGUGGAGCGUGGCUGCAGCUGGCACACAGCAAGCGGCUCUGGCACAGCAAAGAUGCUUGGGCACAGCACUGGGCUGCACAUCCCUCCCCGGUGCUCAGCAUGGCACAGUCAGAGCCAGGAGGGAUGAAGCAGCAGCUGGAUGGGACCUGGUGUGUGGGGCACGACACAUCUGGGCUGGGGUGUCUUAUAGGCUCUGCCCUGGUCACACACUUGCCAGUAUGGACUCUGCUGGGCUCACUGAAUCAUUGCUCAUGUGUCAGUGCAGGUCACUACAGCUAAAAACAGGUUGACAGGAGUCCCUGCCAUGGCAUGAAACUUUUCUGGCCACGUCAGCUGCGGCAAGACAGUUAUGUGCAUCUCUGAAGCCCUUGGCAGCACGCUGGCUUCUGAGGCAUCCUGCUUCUGGGUAGUUCUGUGGGAAAGAUCAAGUACAAAUUGGCACGUGUCUCAGCUGAAAAUUGUUGAAGUCUGGGAGAGUGUCAGGAGUAGCAUCACACCUGCUUGCCCUGCCCCUGUUCUGCUCCAGGCAGUUGCUCCUGGCCACUCUGGAGACACAACGUGGGCUAGGAGAACUCUUGAGCCAGACUUCUGCUGUUCCCCAUGGAAACCAUUUCGACUGUGUCUGGAGCCUUGCAGACACCUUCCCAGGGGAGGGGGAGCAGCUCUGAUCUGCUGAUGGUGCUUUGAUCCCACCUCUGGUUCUGUCCACCUCUGAUCACUGUGAAGGGCAGGAGACUUGAGAUCGUGGUGGCUGUGGUCUGACCCAAACUGCAUCUUCAUGAAUAGAUUCUCUCUUUCAGGUGUUGCCCAGCUGUCUCCACUGGCUCUUUUAACACUCCUUCCAGCAACACAGCAGGUGACCUUUUGGAGAGAAGUAAUCC
Long non-coding RNA from Strigops habroptila (Kakapo), 2009 nucleotides. NCBI's taxonomy places the organism in Eukaryota, Metazoa, Chordata, Aves, Psittaciformes, Psittacidae. The record is from Ensembl.